UACGUAGGGUGCGAGCGUUAAUCGGAAUUACUGGGCGUAAAGCGUGCGCAGGCGGUGAUGUAAGACCGAUGUGAAAUCCCCGGGCUUAACCUGGGAACUGCAUUGGUGACUGCAUCGCUCGAGUAUGGCAGAGGGGGGUAGAAUUCCACGUGUAGCAGUGAAAUGCGUAGAGAUGUGGAGGAAUACCGAUGGCGAAGGCAGCCCCCUGGGUUAAUACUGACGCUCAUGCACGAAAGCGUGGGGAGCAAACAGG
This 253-nucleotide ribosomal RNA is filed under the name uncultured bacterium. RNAcentral's name for it is "partial 16S ribosomal RNA". It matches the Rfam family "Bacterial small subunit ribosomal RNA", at positions 524 to 776 of the family's 1533-position model. The record is from RNAcentral.